RNAcentral lists this ribosomal RNA (255 nucleotides) under uncultured bacterium. Its description in RNAcentral is "partial 16S ribosomal RNA". It matches the Rfam family "Bacterial small subunit ribosomal RNA", at positions 524 to 776 of the family's 1533-position model. The record is from RNAcentral.
UACGUAGGGUGCAGGCGUUAAUCGGAAUUACUGGGCGUAAAGCGUGCGCAGGCGGUCUGCUAAGAGAGAUGUGAAAUCCCCGGGCUUAACCUGGGAACUGCGUUUCUAACUGGCAGGCUUGAGUGUGGCAGAGGGGGGUGGAAUUCCACGUGUAGCAGUGAAAUGCGUAGAGAUGUGGAGGAACACCGAUGGCGAAGGCAGCCCCCUGGGCUAACACUGACGCUCGAUGCACGAAAGCGUGGGGAGCGAAACAGG